Molecule: long non-coding RNA, 232 nt
Filed under: Oreochromis niloticus (Nile tilapia)
Lineage: Eukaryota; Metazoa; Chordata; Actinopteri; Cichliformes; Cichlidae
Description: lncRNA (ENSONIG00000027338.1)
Source: RNAcentral
CCAGCUGUGCUGCCUGCAGUCACCCCUGCAGUCUUCAGCCUUUGCCACCUCCAUAAUUCUGCAACUGACGAGGUGGCGUACGAAGAGGACAAAGAAAAGGAAAAAGAAUGAGAAGUUACUGAAAUGACAGCAUGCACUCCAAAAGCGAUCAGCGUGGACACACGUUAGCAGCACGACUUCCCUCGGCUUAAUGCUCCGGCCCCUUGAGCUUUCACUUCAUGUUGUUCACACA